AAAAACAAUGGGGUAGAGAAAUUCUACAAAUUCUAGAAUACAGGAGCUACCUGUGAGCAGCGAGAAGACAGUCAUUCCUCAUCAAGUGAUUCAAAUUCAGGGAGCUCUUCUGGGAGUGAUUCAGAUGCC
Molecule: long non-coding RNA, 129 nt
Organism: Carya illinoinensis
Lineage: Eukaryota; Viridiplantae; Streptophyta; Magnoliopsida; Fagales; Juglandaceae
Exons: 3
Source: RefSeq, a predicted model, not a curated record